GGGUGUGAGGGUGCUCUGGCUGUGACAUCUGUUACCCCAUUGAUUGCCAGGGUUGAUUGCAGAUCUGGCUGACUAGGCGGGUGUCCCCUUCCUCCUUCACCGCUUCAUGUGCAUCUCUCCAAAGUUGCACUCUUUGUUGAUGUAUAGAGACCUACUGGUCUUCAUUGGAGGGUAUACGAGUAGCUAGAACCUCCAAACAAGCUCUCAAGGUCAAAAAGGUAGCAGGAUUGACUAAAAAGAAAGGUU
Molecule: small nuclear RNA, 246 nt
Filed under: Erinaceus europaeus (western European hedgehog)
Lineage: Eukaryota; Metazoa; Chordata; Mammalia; Eulipotyphla; Erinaceidae
Description: 7SK RNA
Rfam family: 7SK RNA
About the family: 7SK was discovered as an abundant small nuclear RNA in the mid-70s but a possible function has only recently been suggested. Two independent studies have found that 7SK RNA binds the CDK9/cyclin T complex (known as elongation factor P-TEFb).
Source: Rfam by way of RNAcentral